RNAcentral lists this ribosomal RNA (253 nucleotides) under uncultured bacterium. Its description in RNAcentral is "partial 16S ribosomal RNA". It matches the Rfam family "Bacterial small subunit ribosomal RNA", at positions 524 to 776 of the family's 1533-position model. The record is from RNAcentral.
UACGUAGGGGGCAAGCGUUGUCCGGAUUUAUUGGGCGUAAAGCGCUCGCAGGUGGUCCGAUGCGUCGUGCGUGAAAGCCCCCGGCUCAACUGGGGAGUGUCGUGCGAUACGGUCGGACUGGAGGCCAGUAGGGGGAUGCGGAAUUCCGGGUGUAGUGGUGGAAUGCGCAGAUAUCAGGAGGAACACCAAUGGCGAAGGCAGCUCGCUGGGACGUGACUGACGCUGAGACGCGAAAGCGUGGGGAGCAAACAGG